AUGGUCUUUAGGGUCCCUUCCAAGCCCAAGCACCCAGGGAUUCCAUCAUUCUAUGGUCUCCCUUGUCCACUUCAGCCUGGGCCUGGGCUCCUGGCAGUGAUGUCACAGUGCACACUCCAGCUAGAACUUCCAGCAUCCAGCAACAGCCACAACACAACCCUUGGCUUGUUGUGUCAGCACGCUCUUCACCCUGUUCCAAGGCUACCCCUGUCACCUUGUUGUCACACGCUCCCUGAUACCCCCAGCAGUCCCCAAAGCUCGCCAUUGUGUGCAUUUGGUUCUCCUUCCCUGCACGAUGUCGGCAUUUGCUCCAAAGAAGUCUGUCACAGCAGAGAGGAGGAGAUGGAGGUCGAUAUACAGAUUGAUAGAGAGGAGGACAUGGAAGUGGGCAGAGAGGAGACUCGAGAGGAAAAGAUGGAUGUGGAUGUGACAGAGAUGGAGGAAGAGAUGGAGGUGGAUACAAAGACUGAUAGAGAAGAAGACAUGGAAGUGGAUGGAGAGGAGACCGGAGAGGAAGAGAUGGAGAUCGAAAUGGAAGAGCACAUUGAGGAGAUGGAUAUUGAUGGAAAAGAUGAAGAGGAGGACAUGGUCUUGGGAUGAAGACUGAUGCCAGCAGCAGAACAGGCAGGUGUUCCCCACGGGCAGAGUGGGUCCCCUGCUGCCAGCCUGGGGCUGGGCUGGGAAGGGACAUGCUAGCCCAUGCACUGGAUUCUGGUGGCCAUCCCUGGCCUGGGCUUGCUUUGGGCCACACAAGCCCUGUUCCCGUGCCUGGGCCACAGCCCCCAGCCCCAGCCAGGCUCACUUCUGGCAGCAGAGUCCCACUGUGCCAGUGUCCCAGCCUGGCAUCACAUGGAACACCCCUCCAUGCCUGACUGCACUGACCGUGCUACUUGUUUUUCUUCCAGGACUGAGGCACAUCCUGGACACAGAUGCAACCUUCUGUAUAUACGUUUUAGAGAUGUUAUGUUCGCAAUAGAAGUUUUAGAGUUUGCUGUAGUGUUCUGUAAAUACGUUUCAUAUAGUUUGGUUAGAUAUGUUCUUAGGUAAAAAGGUUCUAUAGUUUGUUGUUGUUGUUACUAAUAUUCUUACAAUGUAAAUAUGUUGUGUAGUUCAUUCUUGUUCCUUUUCUUCUACAAAUAAACAAUCUUUGUUUUUCA
Molecule: long non-coding RNA, 1157 nt
Filed under: Cyanistes caeruleus (blue tit)
Lineage: Eukaryota; Metazoa; Chordata; Aves; Passeriformes; Paridae
Description: lncRNA (ENSCCEG00000004709.1)
Source: RNAcentral